AUGGAGCCCGAGAAGAGAAGAACCAAAGAAGAUACUUGGAAAUCAGAUGAACUUAAGAAACAUCUUAGGGUAUCACAGUCAGAUAGUCAAUCUGAAGAUAAGAAACAGAAGGAAAAGAAACUGCAAAGAGAUAGAGAGACUCAUGACAUGGUUGAUUACAAAGGAUACAUACACAAGGAUCAAGACAAGGACAGAGGAAAGGCAAAAGAAAGGACAGGUGAACGAGAGAGAUUUAAAUCUAGUGAAAGAGACAGGGAUAAGCUAAGAGAAAGGGGAAAAGAUCAUCACAGAGAACGAGAGAGAGAGAAAUUGAAGGAGAAGGACCAAGAAAAAGAUGCAGAGAAGGAAAAACACAUUACAAGAAAAGAUAAAGAGAAGGCAAGUGAUAAAGAAAGAGACAGAAAAUAUAGGAGGGAUGAUCUGAAGCCAGUGCUUAUACAGAAUAACCUGAAAGCAUCUGGAGGAAGGGAUAAAGAACAACGCAGAAGAAGAGAAAGCAAGGAUCAAUUGGAGCAAGCAAACAUAAGGGAUGACGUGAAAGAGAGAAGACAUACAGAAAGAAAAGUAAAGGAAGGAAAAGUAAGGAAAUGUUUCAUAACAGCAUAAGAUAAGGUGAAAUGUAAUGAAUAAAUUGGAUAAAACUCCAGUGCCU
RNAcentral lists this long non-coding RNA (652 nucleotides) under Chrysemys picta bellii (western painted turtle). Its description in RNAcentral is "lncRNA (ENSCPBG00000017109.1)". Lineage: Eukaryota; Metazoa; Chordata; Testudines; Emydidae. The record is from RNAcentral.